RNAcentral lists this ribosomal RNA (253 nucleotides) under uncultured bacterium. RNAcentral's name for it is "partial 16S ribosomal RNA". It matches the Rfam family "Bacterial small subunit ribosomal RNA", at positions 524 to 776 of the family's 1533-position model. The record is from RNAcentral.
UACAGAGGGGGCAAGCGUUAUUCGGAAUUACUGGGCGUAAAGGGCGCGUAGGCGGCCUUCUAAGUCGAACGUGAAAUCCCCGGGCUCAACCCGGGAACUGCGUCCGAUACUGGAAGGCUUGAAUCCGGGAGAGGGAUGUGGAAUUCCAGGUGUAGCGGUGAAAUGCGUAGAUAUCUGGAGGAACACCGGUGGCGAAGGCGACAUCCUGGACCGGUAUUGACGCUGAGGCGCGAAAGCCAGGGGAGCAAACAGG